GGUAGUCGUACGCGGUACCCGUAGUUUUGCACGUGGAGCGAACUGAUUAGAAGCUUGCUUCUAUGACGUUAGCGGCGGACGGGUGAGUAACACGUGGGCAACCUGCCUGUAAGACUGGGAUAACUUCGGGAAACCGAAGCUAAUACCGGAUAGGAUCUUCUCCUUCAUGGGAGAUGAUUGAAAGAUGGUUUCGGCUAUCACUUACAGAUGGGCCCGCGGUGCAUUAGCUAGUUGGUGAGGUAACGGCUCACCAAGGCAACGAUGCAUAGCCGACCUGAGAGGGUGAUCGGCCACACUGGGACUGAGACACGGCCCAGACUCCUACGGGAGGCAGCAGUAGGGAAUCUUCCGCAAUGGACGAAAGUCUGACGGAGCAACGCCGCGUGAGUGAUGAAGGCUUUCGGGUCGUAAAACUCUGUUGUUAGGGAAGAACAAGUACGAGAGUAACUGCUCGUACCUUGACGGUACCUAACCAGAAAGCCACGGCUAACUACGUGCCAGCAGCCGCGGUAAUACGUAGGUGGCAAGCGUUAUCCGGAAUUAUUGGGCGUAAAGCGCGCGCAGGCGGUUUCUUAAGUCUGAUGUGAAAGCCACGGCUCAACCGUGCAGGGUCAUUUGGAAACUGGGGAACUUGAGUGCAAA
Molecule: ribosomal RNA, 642 nt
Filed under: Bacillus sp. HPC938
Lineage: Bacteria; Bacillati; Bacillota; Bacilli; Caryophanales; Bacillaceae
Description: bacterial SSU rRNA
Rfam family: Bacterial small subunit ribosomal RNA
Source: RNAcentral